Wasmannia auropunctata (little fire ant) is the source of this 1917-nucleotide long non-coding RNA. RefSeq lists it as uncharacterized. NCBI's taxonomy places the organism in Eukaryota, Metazoa, Arthropoda, Insecta, Hymenoptera, Formicidae. The transcript has 2 exons. The record is from RefSeq and is a predicted model, not a curated record.
CUCAAAUGCAAAUGCAAAUUCGGACCAACAAAUUAUUAAUAUCUUUGACAUUGUUGCUUUGAUGUUAUACAUUAAACUACAAAGAAAAGUUCCUUUGGUAUAACUGAAUUUUCCAUUGUUUGGGGACCAAACAAAAACUCAUUGUCAAUCAAAAGCAAAAAGAUUCCUAUAGACAUUUCUUUAAUAUCGCUAAAUAUUCAAAAUAUUUUCGAUCGCAAUAACAGAAAGAAGUCUCGAACAAAACCGUAAUUUUCGAAAAUCUUUUCGAUUUCCAUACAAAAUCAUUUUAUUCUAUUAUUUUCUAUUGUUUAAUUCUGGAAGAGGAUUUUAAAAUCAGAAAAAGCAAUCCAUACAAAAAAUAUCGUUAUAUUUUUUGUAUGUAUUGCUGUCGUUGAACUGAACUGUCGUUGAGAGUUAACAGAAUCGGGGAGUGGAUCCAUCUUUAAGGAGCAAAAUUAAAAAUCCCAAGCUCUUUUUAUAUCUUUCCCUGAUUCUUCCAGGUUUGCCCUGACUAGUUUAAAUUUCCUUGACUUUUCUUAGUUUUCCAGGUCUGUGGUAACCCUGCUGUGUGUUUUAAGUCGUUGAAUUAAUCAAAAUUUCGGAUUAGAUGUCAAUUCCUUUUUCAAGGAAUAACGGUAGCCGAAAUGAUGGCGUACGAAUGCGCGAAUUUGUUUAGCGAUUGCAUAUCCGGGACGGUGUGAGGACACGUGUGAUGAGAGUGACGAAACGCAGCUGCCGGCUUGUUGCCGGUCGUUUGAUCCUCUGGUUUCGUUGGCGAAACGAGAGACACGAGCGAGCGAAACACGACACUCAAUGUAGGCUGACAUAUCAGUGUUGAAUAAUGCCCUUAAAUUUUCUAAGCGUCGCGCGUCGAGCGGAUGCCGGACGGCACACGAGAUCGUUUGUCCCUGCCCAAAAUUUCGUCCCUGCAAGGUUUGCUUGAUCGAUACACGUCCGCGAGCGUCCCAAACUGCUGCAUGUUAUACACAAACGUCGACGAGAGGAGGACGCUCGUCGCAUCGGGUUUCGAGAGUCGCGCGAUUAAUCGACGUCUAUCUCGCGACGGGGUGGUUUCUGUCAGUCGAUGAAUAAUUAGGAGCAAUCAUGACGGUAAUUGCGACAGUGGGGUAAUCGCGGCCCUUCAAAUACGUUCCGAUAAUUCAAAAUGGAUAAUCAUUACAAACUUGCUGGGAAUGAUGAUUGCACAUUCAUUGCGCGCAUUUGACGCCAUAAAUCAUAAACGAAGACAUUUGUACAAUGUAAAUAAUAUAAAAAAAUCCGAAGACAAAUUCGUUUUCUAUAAGGGACGAAAUCUUCCCGUCGAGAGACACACGUAUCAAACGGACAUAUCGAGACAUGUGUAUCCUCCAUUGUGGAUGCCCUCCAUCGAUCGCACAAUCGUGGCGUUACCGCGCGUUCACGCAAACGAACCCGGUUUCCAGAUUCCGCAUACGCAAGCUUGUCCUUGUAUCCUCGGUCAACGUCGCGGUAUAUCCUCAAGCGUAUAUCCUCUGCGAACGGUAUCGACUAUCGACCAAUCGACUAACAGGAUUCGACGUGCGAACUACGAACGCAUAGAGAGAGAGAGAGAGAGAGAGAGAGAGAGAGAGAGAGAGAGAGAGAGAGAUGCGUGAAUAUCGAUCUCCCUCAUCCGCGUGCGAGAAAUCCGUAUGUACGUGUGUGUGUGUAUGUGUGUGCUUGCGCAUGCAUAGGUACGGCAUGUAUUAUCCGCGCGAUCGCGUUCGCGAUGGUUUCACGGCCGGCAUUCCUCCGCGACGCAAUUAACACCUGAUAAUGAUUUAUGCAACUCUGGUUUAUAGUGUGCUCUUGCGUAAAUCGCAAGCACGCAUACGUAUAUACCGUAUGUGUGUAGACGACGCAUGUAAUCACGGCGAAAUAAAUAUUUUGAAACCUAAA